Trichomycterus rosablanca is the source of this 177-nucleotide long non-coding RNA. RefSeq lists it as uncharacterized. The record is from RefSeq and is a predicted model, not a curated record. The transcript is spliced from 3 exons. NCBI's taxonomy places the organism in Eukaryota, Metazoa, Chordata, Actinopteri, Siluriformes, Trichomycteridae.
CCAGCUCACUCAGCCACCUUCUGUAAUUUGUGCUACACUGAUCUUGCACUGUUCUGGAAACUGCUUUUCAUGAUGCCACUCCUGCUGCCUGAGUGAAUCAAUAAACCAUUUUAACCAGAAUUACAGACCAGUGUCAGGAGGCAGGAGAUCAGCAGUCAAUUAUGGCAGGACAAAACA